UACGUAGGCAGCAAGCGUUGUUCGGAAUUACUGGGCGUAAAGGGCUCGUAGGCGGCCAACUAAGUCAGACGUGAAAUCCCUCGGCUUAACCGGGGAACUGCGUCUGAUACUGGAUGGCUUGAGUUUGGGAGAGGGAUGCGGAAUUCCAGGUGUAGCGGUGAAAUGCGUAGAUAUCUGGAGGAACACCGGUGGCGAAGGCGGCAUCCUGGACCAACACUGACGCUGAGGAGCGAAAGCCAGGGGAGCAAACGGG
This 253-nucleotide ribosomal RNA is filed under the name uncultured bacterium. RNAcentral's name for it is "partial 16S ribosomal RNA". It matches the Rfam family "Bacterial small subunit ribosomal RNA", at positions 524 to 776 of the family's 1533-position model. The record is from RNAcentral.